This is a non-coding RNA of Caretta caretta (loggerhead turtle), 1254 nucleotides long. NCBI's taxonomy places the organism in Eukaryota, Metazoa, Chordata, Testudines, Cheloniidae. The record is from RefSeq and is a predicted model, not a curated record.
GUGUCUGCAGUCCAAACCAAAGCGCUGGAAAGAAUGGGGAGAGGAGAAGGGCUGCGAGCUGCUGUCAGCGAGACUCCUGCCCAGAGACAAGCUGGGGAAGGGGGUGCUCAGUGUCAGGGCUUUGAUUUUUCACUCCUGUGCGGUGCCAUGUGGCCUGGGGGGAGGGAGAGCUGGGGAAGCGUGACUGAGAAGCAAGCUCCCCCCUCCAGGCAGGCCGGAGAAUGGGCAGUCCCAGCAGUCAGACAUGUCAGUGGUUGCUUGGCGAGAAAGGCAUGUAGCUGCUGCUGGGAGAAGGGGAAAGGAAGCGGAGCUGCCAUUGUAGGGGCAGACACUGGGGAGCUGCACUAACUCCCCCCACCCCGCAGCACGGAGCCGCUCCUGGCCAGGGGAGCGCCAGCCUCCCCCGCGGAGGAGGAAUAUUGAGAAGCUGGACUUUUAUCAAACUUGCCUCCGCUCUCCCCUCCUCUCUCUUUCCCUGCCCCCUCCUCCUUCUCUCCUCCCCCCUCUCUCUGGGCGAUGUUUAUUUGGGCAGCUGUGUGAGGCGCAGGAGGAGGUGGGGAAUUUCUCUCUCCCCGGCUGGAGUGGUUAGAGAGAGGCACACACUACUCUGGGGAGGGAAGGAAACAAAAUGUCUGCCAGAGCUGCGGCUGCUUCUUCCAAGCUUGAUUCUGAUCCUGCAAUCUUGAUUAACAGUAGUAAUCUUUAAAUGCAAACCAGGCCAUUAAACUUAAUGAAACUACCCUAUGAGCAAGACUUACUCAUGUGAACAGUGAUUGCAGAAUAACUGAUCACAGCGGAUACGUUAUGGCAAUUGAAGAGGACCCCGGCCUUCCGCGAAGCCUGAGCCUGUAAGCUGGAAAAAUACUCCUCCAUGGCCGACACCCUGAGAGCAAAGGGCUACAAGGUGCAGAUGGAUGCCCUGGUCGUUGGAGCCCUCUGUGCCUGGGUCCCCUACAAUGAGUGUGUGCUGCAGACCUGUGGGAUCGGUCGACGCUAUGCACGGCUCAUGCGGUGCCUCAUGGUCUCGGACGCCAUCCGGUGGUCCAGGGACAUCUACAUCGAACACAUCACCGGCCACCAACAGUACCAGCAGGUGUGAGCCAGAACAACAUCUUGCAUCAACUAUGAGAAAGGGACCGAGAGACUUUUACCAUUGGACCAUAUGAACUGGAACCAUAAACUCACUGAAUGCAUCCGAUUAAGUGAGCUGUAGCUCACGAAGCUUAUGCUCAAAUAAAUUUUGUUAGCUUCUAA